AAGACCUUGCGCUUUUGGAGCGGCCGAUGCCUGAUUAGCUAGUUGGUGGGGUAAUGGCCUACCAAGGCUUCGAUCAGUAGCUGGUCUGAGAGGACGGCCAGCCACACUGGGACUGAGACACGGCCCAGACUCCUACGGGAGGCAGCAGUGGGGAAUUUUGGACAAUGGGCGCAAGCCUGAUCCAGCCAUGCCGCGUGAGUGAAGAAGGCCUUCGGGUUGUAAAGCUCUUUCAGCCGGGAAGAAAAGGUUGCGACUAAUAAUCGCAAUCCAUGACGGUACCGAAAGAAGAAGCACCGGCUAACUACGUGCCAGCAGCCGCGGUAAUACGUAGGGUGCGAGCGUUAAUCGGAAUUACUGGGCGUAAAGGGUGCGCAGGCGGUUUUGUAAGUCAGAUGUGAAAUCCCCGGGCUUAACCUGGGAACU
Molecule: ribosomal RNA, 423 nt
Filed under: uncultured bacterium
Lineage: Bacteria
Description: bacterial SSU rRNA
Rfam family: Bacterial small subunit ribosomal RNA
Source: RNAcentral